This 274-nucleotide ribosomal RNA is filed under the name uncultured bacterium. RNAcentral's name for it is "partial 16S ribosomal RNA". It matches the Rfam family "Bacterial small subunit ribosomal RNA", at positions 523 to 796 of the family's 1533-position model. The record is from RNAcentral.
AUACGGAGGGUGCAAGCGUUGUCCGGAUUUAUUGGGUUUAAAGGGUGCGCAGGCGGUGCGUUAAGUCAGUGGUGAAAUCUUCCGGCUCAACCGGGAAACUGCCAUUGAUACUGGCGCACUUGAGUACGGACGAGGUAGGCGGAAUUUAUGGUGUAGCGGUGAAAUGCAUAAAUACCAUAAAGAACACCGAUAGCGAAGGCAGCUUACCAGACCGUAACUGACGCUCAGGCACGAAAGCGUGGGGAGCAAACAGGAUUAGAAACCCUAGUAGUCC